RNAcentral lists this ribosomal RNA (253 nucleotides) under uncultured bacterium. RNAcentral's name for it is "partial 16S ribosomal RNA". It matches the Rfam family "Bacterial small subunit ribosomal RNA", at positions 524 to 776 of the family's 1533-position model. The record is from RNAcentral.
UACGGAGGAUGCGAGCGUUAAUCGGAAUCACUGGGCGUAAAGCGCGCGUAGGCGGCUUUUCAAGUCAGGGGUGAAAUCCCACGGCCCAACCGUGGAACUGCCUUUGAAACUGUAGAGCUUGAGUGUCGGAGAGGGUGGCGGAAUUCCAGGUGUAGGAGUGAAAUCCGUAGAUAUCUGGAGGAACACCGGUGGCGAAGGCGGCCACCUGGACGACAACUGACGCUGAGGUGCGAAAGCGUGGGUAGCAAACAGG